Molecule: ribosomal RNA, 434 nt
Filed under: uncultured bacterium
Lineage: Bacteria
Description: partial 16S ribosomal RNA
Rfam family: Bacterial small subunit ribosomal RNA
Source: RNAcentral
AGCGAACGCUGGCGGCAGGCCUAACACAUGCAAGUCGAACGAACCUUUCGGGGUUAGUGGCGGACGGGUGAGUAACACGUGGGAUCGUGCCUUUAGGUUCGGAAUAACUCAGGGAAACUUGUGCUAAUACCGAAUGUGCCCUUCGGGGGAAAGAUUAAUCGCCUUUAGAGCGGCCCGCGUCUGAUUAGCUAGUUGGUUGAGGUAAUGGCUCACCAAGGCGACGAUCAGUAGCUGGUCUGAGAGGAUGAUCAGCCACAUUGGGACUGAGACACGGCCCAAACUCCUACGGGAGGCAGCAGUGGGGAAUCUUGCGCAAUGGGCGAAAGCCUGACGCAGCCAUGCCGCGUGAAUGAUGAAGGUCUUAGGAUUGUAAAAUUCUUUCACCGGGGACGAUAAUGACGGUACCCGGAGAAGAAGCCCCGGCUAACUUCGUG